RNAcentral lists this ribosomal RNA (256 nucleotides) under uncultured bacterium. RNAcentral describes it as "partial 16S ribosomal RNA". It matches the Rfam family "Bacterial small subunit ribosomal RNA", at positions 520 to 775 of the family's 1533-position model. The record is from RNAcentral.
GUAAUACGAAGGGUCCAAGCGUUGUUCGGAAUCACUGGGCGUAAAGGGCGCGUAGGCGGCCUGAUAAGUCGGGGGUGAAAGCCUGUGGCUCAACCACAGAAUAGCCUUCGAUACUGUCGGGCUUGAGACCGGAAGAGGUAAGUGGAACUGCGAGUGUAGAGGUGAAAUUCGUAGAUAUUCGCAAGAACACCAGUGGCGAAGGCGGCUUACUGGUCCGGUUCUGACGCUGAGGCGCGAAAGCGUGGGGAGCAAACAG